GAAACAGUGGCUAAGACUGGAUAGGAAAUUAAGAGGCAUCUUUUAAUUUUUAAAAGACCUUUUUCGGAAGGUAUGCUUAAAGAGGGGCUUGCGCCACAUUAGUUAGUUGGUAAGGUAAAGGCUUACCAAGACGAUGAUGUGUAGCUGGACUGAGAGGUUGAACAGCCACAUUGGGACUGAGACACGGCCCAAACUCCUACGGGAGGCAGCAGUAAGGAAUUUUUGGCAAUGGAGGAAACUCUGACCGAGCGACGCCGCGUGAACAAUGAAGUACUUCGGUAUGUAAAGUUCUUUUAUUGAAAAAGAAAAAAUAGUGGAAAAACUAUCUUGACAUUAUUCAAUGAAUAAGCCCCGGCUAAUUAUGUGCCAGCAGCCGCGGUAACACAUAAGGGGCGAGCGUUAUCCGGAAUUAUUGGGCGUAAAGGGUGCGUAGGCGGUUUGAUAAGUCUAUAGUUUAAAUGCAGCGCUUAACGCUGUAGCGCUAUAGAAACUGUCUGACUAGAGUUAGAUAGAGGCAAGCGGAAUUCCAUGUGUAGCGGUAAAAUGCGUAAAUAUAUGGAGGAACACCAGAGGCGUAGGCGGCUUGCUGGGUCUUAACUGACGCUGAGGCACGAAAGCGUGGGGAGCAAACAGGAUUAGAUACCCUGGUAGUCCACGCCGUAAACGAUGAGUACUAAGUGUCGGGUUUCGGCUCGGUACUGAAGUUAACACAUUAAGUACUCCGCCUGAGUAGUACGUACGCAAGUAUGAAACUUAAAGGAAUUGACGGGACCCCGCACAAGCGGUGGAUCAUGUUGUUUAAUUCGAAGAUACACGAAAAACCUUACCAGGUCUUGACAUAAUUUUGCGACAUUAUAGAAAUAUAAUGAAGGUUAUCAGAAUUACAGGUGGUGCAUGGUUGUCGUCAGCUCGUGUCGUGAGAUGUUAGGUUAAGUCCUAAAACGAGCGCAACCCUUGUCGUUAGUUGCGACCACGUAAUGGUGAGCACUUUAGCGAGACUGCCAAUGAAAAAUUGGAGGAAGGUGAGGAUUACGUCAAAUCAUCAUGCCCCUUAUGAUCUGGGCUACAAACGUGAUACAAUGGCUGUUACAAAGAGUAGCUACAACGUGAGUUUUUAGCCAAUCUCAAGAAAACAGUCUCAGUUCGGAUUGAAGUCUGCAACUCGACUUCAUGAAGUUGGAAUCGCUAGUAAUCGCGAAUCAGCAUGUCGCGGUGAAUACGUUGACGGGGUUUGUACACACCGCCCGUCA
Molecule: ribosomal RNA, 1250 nt
Filed under: Candidatus Phytoplasma phoenicium
Lineage: Bacteria; Bacillati; Mycoplasmatota; Mollicutes; Acholeplasmatales; Acholeplasmataceae
Description: bacterial SSU rRNA
Rfam family: Bacterial small subunit ribosomal RNA
Source: RNAcentral